GAAUGAGGGUCCGGGUUCAGGAAGACGUCUUCCUGAUCCCAGUUCCACAAAGUGAGGCCAACUCCUGCUCUGUGUCGUGGCUGUGUGAGCAGGCAGCUCAGCGUUACUACCAGAAAUGUGGCCUCCUGCCUCGUCUCUCUCUGCAGAAAGAAGGCGCUCUGCUCUCCCCGCAGGACCAGCUACUGGCCGUCCUGCACACAAAUGAAGAGACUGGAUGCUGACUUGCUUUUGGAGCCAGCUUCCAGAAGACACUGAAGGAAUC
Maylandia zebra (zebra mbuna) is the source of this 262-nucleotide non-coding RNA. The record is from RefSeq and is a predicted model, not a curated record. Lineage: Eukaryota; Metazoa; Chordata; Actinopteri; Cichliformes; Cichlidae.